UACGUAGGGUGCAAGCGUUAAUCGGAAUUACUGGGCGUAAAGCGUGCGCAGGCGGUUCGCUAAGACAGAUGUGAAAUCCCCGGGCUUAACCUGGGAACUGCAUUUGUGACUGGCGGGCUAGAGUAUGGCAGAGGGGGUAGGAAUUCCACGUGUAGCAGUGAAAUGCGUAGAGAUGUGGAGGAAUACCGAUGGCGAAGGCAGCCCCCUGGGCCAAUACUGACGCCUCAUGCACGGAAAGCGUGGGGAGCAAACACGG
RNAcentral lists this ribosomal RNA (256 nucleotides) under uncultured bacterium. Its description in RNAcentral is "partial 16S ribosomal RNA". It matches the Rfam family "Bacterial small subunit ribosomal RNA", at positions 524 to 777 of the family's 1533-position model. The record is from RNAcentral.